This 240-nucleotide ribosomal RNA is filed under the name uncultured bacterium. RNAcentral describes it as "partial 16S ribosomal RNA". It matches the Rfam family "Bacterial small subunit ribosomal RNA", at positions 524 to 763 of the family's 1533-position model. The record is from RNAcentral.
UACGUAGGGGGCAAGCGUUGUCCGGAAUCAUUGGGCGUAAAGCGCGUGUAGGCGGCUCGAUAAGUCUGCUGUGAAAGUCCAGGCUCAACCCUGGGAUGCCGGUGGAUACUGUCGAGCUCGAGUCCGGAAGAGGCGAGUGGAAUUCCUGGUGUAGCGGUGAAAUGCGCAGAGAUCCGGAAGAACACCGGUGGCGAAGGCGGCCGCUGGGCAGGUUGCUGACACUGAGGCGCGACAAGCGUG